UACGUAGGGUGCAAGCGUUGUUCGGAAUUACUGGGCGUAAAGCGUGCGUAGUCGGUAUUGAGAGUCGCGGGUGAAAUCCCAGGGCUUAACCCUGGAACUGCCUGCGAGACCUCAGUACUAGAGUGUGAGAGGGGAUAGUGGAAUACCAAGUGUAGCGGUGAAAUGCGUAGAGAUUUGGUGGAACACCGGUGGCGAAGGCGGCUAUCUGGCUCACAACUGACGAUCAGGCACGAAAGCGUGGGGAGCAAACAGG
This 253-nucleotide ribosomal RNA is filed under the name uncultured bacterium. RNAcentral describes it as "partial 16S ribosomal RNA". It matches the Rfam family "Bacterial small subunit ribosomal RNA", at positions 524 to 776 of the family's 1533-position model. The record is from RNAcentral.